RNAcentral lists this ribosomal RNA (482 nucleotides) under uncultured Bacteroidota bacterium. RNAcentral's name for it is "bacterial SSU rRNA". It matches the Rfam family "Bacterial small subunit ribosomal RNA", at positions 77 to 556 of the family's 1533-position model. Lineage: Bacteria; Pseudomonadati; Bacteroidota. The record is from RNAcentral.
AGCUUGCUCUUGAUGACGAGUGGCGCACGGGUGAGUAACGCGUAUGCAAUCUACCUAUAACUGAGGAAUAGCCCAGAGAAAUUUGGAUUAAUACUUCAUAAUAUUAUUAUUUGGCAUCAUUUAAUAAUUAAAACUCCGGUGGUUAUAGAUGAGCAUGCGUUCUAUUAGCUAGUUGGUGAGGUAAGAGCUCACCAAGGCUACGAUAGAUAGGGGGCCUGAAAGGGUGAUCCCCCACACUGGUACUGAGACACGGACCAGACUCCUACGGGAGGCAGCAGUGAGGAAUAUUGCACAAUGGAGGAAACUCUGAUGCAGCCAUGCCGCGUGCAGGAUGAAGGCCCUAUGGGUUGUAAACUGCUUUUUUACAAGAAGAAACCUUGGUACGUGUACCAACUUGACGGUAUUGUAAGAAUAAGCACCGGCUAACUCCGUGCCAGCAGCCGCGGUAAUACGGAGGGUGCAAGCGUUAUCCGGAUUUAUUA